Molecule: unclassified non-coding RNA, 329 nt
Filed under: uncultured fungus
Lineage: Eukaryota; Fungi
Description: partial contains small subunit ribosomal RNA, internal transcribed spacer 1, and 5.8S ribosomal RNA
Rfam family: Eukaryotic small subunit ribosomal RNA (bases 1-73)
Source: RNAcentral
CCAAACUUGGUCAUUUAGAGGAAGUAAAAGUCGUAACAAGGUCUCCGUUGGUGAACCAGCGGAGGGAUCAUUACUGAGUUAUCAAAACUCCCAACCCUUUGUGAACCUUACCACUGUUGCCUCGGCGUCAGCUGCAGCUACCCUGGAGAGCUACCCUGAAGCCACCUACCUGGUAGGUGCUACCCGGUAGCUACCCUAUAGCCCGCGUAUAGCGCGCCGGUGGACCAAUAAACUCUGUUUUUACCUGAGAAUCUCUGAAUGCUUCAACUAAAUUAGUUAAAACUUUCAACAACGGAUCUCUUGGUUCUGGCAUCGAUGAAGAACGCAGC